UAGCGCAAAAUUCGCACACGUGCCGACACGUUGUUCUGGGUGCUCAUAGUGAUCGAAAUACUGGUAUUUGCUAAGUGUUUGGUCCUUAAGAGAGUUGAAUGAUGGGGCAUGUGGAGGACUAAC
This 123-nucleotide small RNA is filed under the name uncultured Alkalimarinus sp. Its description in RNAcentral is "t44 RNA". It matches the Rfam family "t44 RNA", at positions 13 to 95 of the family's 95-position model. From Rfam's summary of the family: This family consists of a number of bacterial RNA genes of between 135 and 170 bases in length. The t44 gene is found between the map and rpsB genes in all species in the full alignment apart from Shigella flexneri. The function of this RNA is unknown. Lineage: Bacteria; Pseudomonadati; Pseudomonadota; Gammaproteobacteria; Alteromonadales; Alteromonadaceae. The record is from RNAcentral.